This 446-nucleotide ribosomal RNA is filed under the name uncultured bacterium. RNAcentral describes it as "partial 16S ribosomal RNA". It matches the Rfam family "Bacterial small subunit ribosomal RNA", at positions 338 to 795 of the family's 1533-position model. The record is from RNAcentral.
CCUACGGGAGGCAGCAGUCGAGAAUCAUUCACAAUGGGGGAAACCCUGAUGGUGCGACGCCGCGUGGGGGAAUGAAGGUCUUCGGAUUGUAAACCCCUGUCAUGUGGGAGCAAAUUAAAAAGAUAGUACCACAAGAGGAAGAGACGGCUAACUCUGUGCCAGCAGCCGCGGUAAUACAGAGGUCUCAAGCGUUGUUCGGAAUCACUGGGCGUAAAGCGUGCGUAGGCUGUUUCGUAAGUCGUGUGUGAAAGGCGGGGGCUCAACCCGCGGACGGCACAUGAUACUGAGAGACUAGAGUAAUGGAGGGGGAACCGGAAUUCUCGGUGUAGCAGUGAAAUGCGUAGAGAGCGAGAGGAACACUCGUGGCGAAGGCGGGUUCCUGGACAUUAACUGACGCUGAGGCACGAAGGCCAGGGGAGCGAAAGGGAUUAGAUACCCGAGUAGUC